GUCUACAGCUAUGUCACCCUGAACAUGCCUGAUCCUGUCUGAUCUCAGAAGCUAAGCAGGGUCGAGCCUGGUUAGUACUUGGAUGGGAGACCAACUAGAAAGACCAGGUGCUGUAGGCA
RNAcentral lists this ribosomal RNA (119 nucleotides) under Pteropus alecto (black flying fox). The record is from RNAcentral. Lineage: Eukaryota; Metazoa; Chordata; Mammalia; Chiroptera; Pteropodidae. RNAcentral also lists the same sequence under 1 other name.